GAUGAACGCUGGCGGCGUGCUUAACACAUGCAGGUCGAACGAUGAAGCCCAGCUUGCUGGGUGGAUUAGUGGCGAACGGGUGAGUAACACGUGAGUAACCUGCCCUUAACUCUGGGAUAAGCCUGGGAAACUGGGUCUAAUACCGGAUAGGAGCGUCCACCGCAUGGUGGGUGUUGGAAAGAUUUAUCGGUUUUGGAUGGACUCGCGGCCUAUCAGCUUGUUGGUGAGGUAAUGGCUCACCAAGGCGACGACGGGUAGCCGGCCUGGGAGGGUGACCGGCCACACUGGGACUGAGACACGGCCCAGACUCCUACGGGAGGCAGCAGUGGGGAAUAUUGCACAAUGGGCGCAAGCCUGAUGCAGCGACGCCGCGUGAGGGAUGACGGCCUUCGGGUUGUAAACCUCUUUCAGUAGGGAAGAAGCGAAAGUGACGGUACCUGCAGAAGAAGCACCGGCUAACUACGUG
Molecule: ribosomal RNA, 466 nt
Filed under: uncultured bacterium
Lineage: Bacteria
Description: partial 16S ribosomal RNA
Rfam family: Bacterial small subunit ribosomal RNA
Source: RNAcentral